GGAAGGCUAGCCAGCUUAUUGGCAAAUUCUUGGAGGUCUCUCACCGAACUCCCAUUGGGGCCAGCUGCAUCCACCACAGCUUUGCUCAGAGCUUUGGCUUUCGCUCUCAGUUCAUCGGAGCUGAAAGACUCGGCGAUGACUUUCCCCAGUUGGUCCGAGUCCGGCACCGACUUCUCCCCAUGACACACUUGCACCGCCACUCCAACGUGAUCCACCAAAAUCUUUGAGUUCAUCAAUUGAUCCCCUUCCAUGCCCCAACCAAAUAUUGGAAUUCCACUCACUAAGCUUUCCAGUACAGAGUUCCACCCGCAGUGGCUCAGAAACCCUCCGACGGCUCGGUGGUUCAGUAUCGCCACCUGCGGAGCCCAUCUCCUCACUACGAUUCCACGAUCCGACACCCGAUCCUCAAACCCAAUUGGAAUUCCGUCGGACCCACCGACUGUUUGAUGAAUUG
This 454-nucleotide unclassified non-coding RNA is filed under the name Hevea brasiliensis (rubber tree). Lineage: Eukaryota; Viridiplantae; Streptophyta; Magnoliopsida; Malpighiales; Euphorbiaceae. The record is from RNAcentral.